This 310-nucleotide ribosomal RNA is filed under the name uncultured bacterium. Its description in RNAcentral is "partial 16S ribosomal RNA". It matches the Rfam family "Bacterial small subunit ribosomal RNA", at positions 503 to 807 of the family's 1533-position model. The record is from RNAcentral.
AAGAGACAGCAGCAGCCGCGGGAAUACGGAGGGUGCAAGCGUUAUCCGGAUUUAUUGGGUUUAAAGGGUCCGUAGGCGGAUCUGUAAGUCAGUGGUGAAAUCUCACAGCUUAACUGUGAAACUGCCAUUGAUACUGCAGGUCUUGAGUAAAUUUGAAGUGGCUGGAAUAAGUAGUGUAGCGGUGAAAUGCAUAGAUAUUACUUAGAACACCAAUUGCGAAGGCAGGUCACUAAGAUUUAACUGACGCUGAUGGACGAAAGCGUGGGGAGCGAACAGGAUUAGAUACCCCCGUAGUCCCUGUCUCUUAUAC